This 105-nucleotide ribosomal RNA is filed under the name Periophthalmus magnuspinnatus. The record is from RNAcentral. Lineage: Eukaryota; Metazoa; Chordata; Actinopteri; Gobiiformes; Gobiidae.
UGGCUAUAUUUACUUGUCAAUUGCCAAUCUCGUCUGAUCUUGGAAGCUACGCAGGGCUGGUUCGUUAGUACUUGGAUGGGAGACUUCCAGGAAUACCAGGAGCCA